UAUGGCCAUAUCACAUUGAAACACCUGGUUCUCAUAUGAUCACCGAAGUUAAGCAACAUUGAACCUGGCAGCACCUAGAUGGGUGUCUACUUGGGAAUACUAGGUGC
This is a non-coding RNA of Acanthosepion pharaonis, 107 nucleotides long. The record is from the annotation of a GenBank genome assembly. NCBI's taxonomy places the organism in Eukaryota, Metazoa, Mollusca, Cephalopoda, Sepiida, Sepiidae.